GCUGAAAUAGCUCAAAUGGUAGAGCAACGCCCUCGUACUGCGUAGGUUCCCGGUUCAAAUCCGGGUUUCAGCUCCA
Molecule: transfer RNA, 76 nt
Filed under: Caudoviricetes sp.
Lineage: Duplodnaviria; Heunggongvirae; Uroviricota; Caudoviricetes
Description: tRNA-Thr
Rfam family: tRNA
About the family: Transfer RNA (tRNA) molecules are approximately 80 nucleotides in length.
Source: RNAcentral